Molecule: long non-coding RNA, 8476 nt
Organism: Gorilla gorilla gorilla (western lowland gorilla)
Lineage: Eukaryota; Metazoa; Chordata; Mammalia; Primates; Hominidae
Exons: 3
Source: RefSeq, a predicted model, not a curated record
AUUUUUAGUAGAGAUGGGGUUUCACCAUGUUGACCGGGCUGGUCUUGAACACCUGAACUCAGGUGAUCAGCCUGCCUCGGCCUUCCAAAGUGCUGGGAUUACAGGUGUGAACCACUGCGCUCAGCCAGGGGUGCAUUUUUGAGUAGUAAAUGUGGGGAACACGGCUAUAGCACAUAAACCCCAGCAACCAUGCGGCUGCCACCAGGUUUGAGGGGACGCUGGUGGCCCCCUUCCACUGGGCAGCUUGCUCCUUCCGCCCUGUAAUGUGAUGUUCCUUGAAGUGUGCUUCAAAUUCCUUAGCUAUAACGUUUUAUUUCAGAAUAAAAAUAAAUAACCAGGUCAGGAAAAGAAAACUGAUGGCAAGCCUUGCUGUGCGAGAGGAAUUUUUUUUGUUUUUUUUUUUUUUACAGGUGACAAUUCCCAGUUAAACAUUUUCACACAGUCAAGGAGGGGGACAGCUUGGGCUCACAACAAUGCUGCUAGAAAAUCGGCCGGGCACGAUGGCUCAUGCCUGUAAUGCCAGCACUUUGGGAGGCCGAGGCAGGCAGAUCACAUGAGGUCAGGAGUUUCAGAUUAGCCUGGCCAACAUGGUGAAAAGUCGUCUCUACUAAAAAUACAAAAAUUGGCCAGGUGUGGUGGUGGGCACCUGUAAUCCCAGCUACUCAGGAGGCUGAGGCAGGAGAAUUGCUUGAACCUGGGAGGUGGAGUUUGCAGUGAGCUGAGAUCACACUACUACACUUCAGCCUGGAAAACAGAGUGACACUCUGUCUCAAAAAUAAAAUAAAAUAAAAUAAUGGACUGGAAAAAUCACUCAUGGGCCAAGCAGAUUGCUUGAUGGCUUGCCCAAGAGAUAUUUGAAAAUAUUAAGAGAAAUAGGAAUUAUGGAUCACGAUGGGCCCUUCAAAGAGGAGAAGAACGAUGCAUCGUCACCUUCUGCAGAAGAUGAAUGACAGAGAAAAGAUAGAUGCGCUCAGGCCGGGCGCCGUGGCUCACGCCUGAAAUCCCAGCACUUUGGGAGGCUGAGGUGGGUAGAUCACGAGGUCAGGAGAUCGAGACCAUCUUGGCUAACAUGGUGAAACCCUGUCUUUACUAAAAUACAAAAAUUAUUAUAUUUUUGUAGAAAUGUGGUGGCAGAUGUCUGUAAUCCCAGCUACUUGGGAGGCUGAAGCAGGGGAAUCACGUGAAUCUGGGAGGUGGAGGUUGCUGUGAGCCAAGAUCACACCACUGCACUCCAGCCUGGCAACAAGAGCAAGACUCUGUCUCAAAAAAAAAAAAAAAAAAAAAAAGAAUAAAGAAAAAAGAAAAGAUAGUGGUUCACGCCUGUAAUCCCAGCACUUUGGGAGGCCGAGGCGGGCAGAUCACGAGGUCAGGAGAUCGAGACCAUCCUGGCUAACACGGUGAAACCCUGUCUCUUCUAAAAAUACAAAAUAUUAGCCGGGUGUGGUGGCGGGCGCCUGUAGUCCCAGCUACUGGGGAGGCUGAGGCAGGAGAAUGGCGUGAACCUGGGAGGCGGAGCUUGCAGUGAGCCGAGAUUGCACUACUGCACUCCACCCUGGGCAACAGAGUGAAACUCCGCCUAAAAAAAAAAAACAUAGAUACGCUGUUUUUUUUCUUUUUUUUUCCACACUAGAGUUUUAUACUCUUCUCACAUAGUUUUGUUCUUUUCAGUAAAAGUAAUUCAUUAAAUCUAAACCUAGCUGUGAUGGUUUCUUGUUUCUUUGCAGGAUGUAUUUUGUUUUGCUUGUUAAACAAGUAACUCUACAAAUCGGAAAAUGUGCCUUGUCAGUAUACCCCAGCCCCCAGCAUCCGUCUAACCAGAAAGAAAACAUGUGAGAUGUCUGAAAUAACAGAGAUUCAAAGGCAUUGGCUUCGACGGCUUGAGCAUUUACCAGGACUACCAUCUGCAACACAUUUUUUGUUUUUUUGUUUUUUGCCAUAUACAUUGAGUGGAAAAAAAAUUAGAGGAAAGAGAAAGAAAUGGUCACAGCUAGGGGAGGGCAGGAGUUCUGGUGUGAGGGGAAGGGGCUGGGCAGGGCAGGAGGGUGACAUAGCCAGAGCCCAGCCUCCUGUCCUGUCCUGCAUUCUCCCCCACGGCAGAGGGGACCAUGGAGGGUGCUCAGGUCAGGAAAUGGAUCUGUCACUUCUCAAACUAUAGAUGACGCCAAUGACUGACAUAAUGAAGGAGUGUGAGAUUUCCCUUCAGCUCAAGGCUUGGAGUUUGCUGCCCUGGCCAUCCUUGUGCAGAGACAUGGGGUCUCCAGAACUUUUUGUUUUCUUCUUUUUUUUUUGAGACAGAGCCUCACUCUGUCACCCAGGCUAGAGCGCAGUGGUGUGACCUCAGCUCACUGCAACAUCUGCCUCCCUGGUUCAAGCGAUUCUCCUGCCUCAGCCUCCCAUGUAGCUGGGACAACAGGCGCACGCCACCAUGCCCAGCUAAUUUUCGUAUUUUUUUUUUAGUACAGAUGGGGUUUCACCAUGUUGGCCAGGAUGGUCUCUAUCUCUUGACCUCGUGAUCCGCCUUGGCCUCCCAAAGUGCUGGGAUUACAGGCAUGAGCCAUGGUGCCUGGCCUUGUUUUUGUUUUUGAGACAGAGUCUCGCUCUGUCGUCCAGGCUGGAGUGCAGUGGUGCAAUCUCGGCUCACUGCAACCUCCGCCUCCUGGGCUCAAGAGAUUCUCCUGCCUCAGCCUCCUGAGUAGCUGGGAUUAUAGGUGCCUGCCACCAUGCCCAGCUAAUUUUUGUACAUUUUAGCAGAGAUGGGGUUUCUCCAUGUUGUCCAGGCUGGUCUUGAACUCCUACGAACUCCAGAACUUUUAUUUUAUUUUAUUUAUUUUUUUCGAGACGGAGUCUUGCCCUGUCGCCCAGGCUGGAGUGCAGUGGUGCAAUCUCGGCUCACUGCAACCUUCGCCUCCUGGGUUCAAGCAAUUCUCCUGCCUCAGCCUCCCGAGUAGCUGGGAUUACAGGGUCACGUUACCACGCCUGGCUAAUUUUUGUAUUUUUAGUAGAGAUGGGGUUUCACCAUGUUGGCCAGGCUGGUCUUGAACUCCUGACCUCAGGUGAUUCAACCACCUCAGCCUCCCAAAGUGCUAGGAUUACAGGCGUGAGCCACCACGCCCGGCCAUCCAGAGCUUUUAAAUUCUCCCGAAGGACUUAGGACCGAUCCUUUCCUCCCCACCAGGGUCCUGCUUCUCUUUUCUCUUCCUCCCUUUCUCUUGCUUUGUUAAUUCUUCUUCACUCCCUUGGUCCAUGGCCACUCCCAGUGCCAUCAAGCCCAGAUGGGACCCCAUGGGGUCAAGAGGGUGUUGCCCUGGGAUGCUGACCUCAUGCUCUGAGCAGUCUCCCCAGGUAUCCUGAUCUCAUGGGGGGAAGCUGCUGACAGAUGGUGCUGAUGUGAACAGCACCUCCAGGCUACUGGACCUUGUAACCAAGGUUCAGAGCUCAGAGCACAUGUGCUGGUACCAGAGAGUCUCAGGGGUCCUGAGCCAGCAUCCCCCACGCCACAUAAACAAGCAAAGCGGGCCAUCUUGUCCUGCCACUGUGUGGCCCUAAAAAAGAGGGGGUGCCAGAUGCAGUAGCUCAUACCUGUAACUUCAGCACUUUGGGAGGCCGAGGUGGAGGAUCACUUGAGGUCAGGAGUUCCAGACCAGCCUGGCCAACAUGGUGAAACCCCGUCUCUUACUAAAAAAAAAAAAAAAAAAAAAAAUUAGGUGUGGUGGCAGACGCCUGUAAUCCCAGCUACUCAGGAGGCUGGGGCAGGAGAAUCACUUGAACCUGGGAGGCAGAGGUUGCAGUGAGCCAAGAUUGCGCCACUGUACUCCAGCCUGGGUGAGAAGAGCGAGAAAAAAAAAAAGGUGGAAUUUUCUGGAUAGUGGCAGGAAGCUGCUGGAUCAGGCCAAGUCCCGUGGUAAGUCGCCCCUUCCUUACAGCUUUCUGUGCCAACCUGACGUUCCUAAGCUGGGACACACAAGGGUUAGUAAGCGAGGGUCAGGUGUCCAGUUCUGUCCUGCUUUGAGGGGGAAAAGGCGAGUGCAAGGGUAGACCGGCAUUGCCUUAGUCAGCCCCAGUGUGCAGGGGCCUUUUGCCUUUACUAAGAGCAAACCCAGACCUGGUGCACUGACUCACACCUGUAAUCUCUGCACUUUGAGGGGCUGAGGUAGGAGGAUCACUUGAGGCCAGGAAUUCAAGACCAGAGUGGGGAACAUAGCAAGAACCUGUUCCUCAAAAAUCAGCCAGGUCUAGUGGCCUGUGCCUGUGGUUCCAGUUACUCAGAAGGCUGAGGUGAAAGGACUGCCUGAGGCCAGGAGUUUGAAACGAAUCUGGGCAACAUAGCAAGACCCCUCUCUACAAUUUUUUUUUAAUUAGCUGGAUGCAGUGGCUCACACCUGAAAUCCCAGCAGUUUGAGAUGUGAAGGUGGGAAGAUCUCUUGAGGCUAGGAGUUCAGGCCCAGCCUGGGCAACAUAGCAAGAUUCCAUCUCUACAAAAAUAUUUUUUAAAAAAUUAGCCAGGCAUGGUGAUGUGUACCUGUAGUCUCAGUUACUCAGGAGGCUGAGGUGGGAGAAUCAUUUGAGCCCAGGAGUUUGAGGCUGCAGUGGGUCAUGAUUGCACCACUGCACUCCAGCCUGGGCCACAGAGCAAGACCCCAUCUCAAAUAAAUAGAUAAAUAAGUAACACUAAACCCUCAAAGCCAAAGAAGCUCUCCUCCUACAUCUCCAUCACUCCCCUCCCCACCUCCAGUUCUGGAGAAAUCAAGACACAAAGGAGGCUGCUCUGGGAAGUGCUAACAUGUAUUUAUUCCACAAGGUGGGAGAUGGGGUGAGGAGAUGAUCACCAGUAAGAUGUCACAAAAUGAGACACUGCGAAUCCCACACAGGGCAAGGGGGCAGCUACAGGGUUCAGCUCUGGGCAGGGCUUGGCCAGGGACAGUGUGGGGAAAAAGAGAUGGGGACUGGGAGAUGGGACAGCCUCCCAGCGGGGGCACCCCACAGGGCAGGGCUGAGACACAUCCUUCCGGCCAGUGACAUGGGGCCAAACCCACACCCUUCUCAUCCCUCGUCCCCAUCCAGGUGAGUAAUGAAGCAGCAAGCCCAAGGCCACACAGCUAGGUCAGCAUCGUCACACACUCCGGAACGCACAGCCAGACACACACACACACACCCUGCCACGCACAGCACACAGGCACACACACGCUUGUGCAUGCACACGCGUUCAUAUAUUAACUCUGAUUUAUAUGUGCACCCUAACCAGAGGGCAAUCGAAAAAAAAUACUCUUCAGAGAGGAAACGACUGCCUUCUCCUCUGCCAGCCAGCAGAGCGUGGGGUGAAAUGAGGUGAGCCAAAAGCAUCUUCAAGGGUCCUGGCAGCCUUUGCUUCAGCCCUUAGGUUCUGGAUGGAGGACCGCUGCUUCUCCCUGGUGGCAGCCUCUGGGAGUCAGGGCUCCCUGGUCCUUGACCCAGCUCCAUCCUGCGGGGCCCUUGUGGCUGAGAUCCUACUGCAGGCUUAGCCUAUUUCUGUCUCUGGCUUCCUCUAGACACAGGCAGGAGACCUGGCCCAAGCACACUGAUAAGAGCCUAGUGCCCAGGUGAUUAGGAGAGAAAGCAUCAGCUCCAUCAGGUCAUCUCAGGAGGGGCCAGAAAAGUCCAGAGCUGCAGUGCCCAAAGCUACCCUGGUGGGAAGGGUUAGGGGCAGUAGCUGCCUUGGGGCGUGAACAGGCAGGUGUCAUCUGGGUAGAAGUAACCUCGGACGAAAUAGUGCCCGGUCCUCACUGCCUCCUUUUAGGGUGGGGAGCUAGGACAUGGCUGAAGCCCCCGCUGCCUCCCACCGUGUUGAUGGCUGGAGUUCAGCAGCUGCUGCUGCAAGAGAUGAGACACAGGAGGGGACCCUGCCAGUCCCAGAUCCUGAUUCUGGGAUGGGAGAUGUGGAGAACUGGACAGUCUUGCUCCUCAGUACCAGGUCCACAUCAGAGGCUGUGGAAGACAGCUCUCAGUUUCCCAGAGGAAGGGUGGGGGGCUUUUCCAGGGUGCAGGAAACUUGUGGGCAGCUGAAUGCCUGAGGGGGGACAGAGUCUUCAUCCGGGGUCCCUGUGCUGCCCUGGAGAAGCGCUGGGGGGCCCAUCGAGCACCUGCCGGUCCCUUGCUGUCUCUCCGCCAGGGCAGCUGGUCCAGAUGUUGGGGGGAGCAGCCAUGUCCUGGGGGCCAGGCUCCAGUGCCCCAGCUCCCUCCCUCUACUUGAUGGAGUUCUUAAUGGUCCACCUCUGACCUGUGCAGCUGCGGAGGAUGAGGUCGAUGCCAGCCAGGCCGCGGUUCUCCACCUCCAGGCAGCGUCCCGUGCCCUUGUUCAUGAUGGCUCCAUUCUGGGAGGGGGCAAAAUCGAGAAGAGAGGAGAAGAGAGAGAGGAGAGAGAGACAGCGAGAGAUAUAGAGAGAGGAGAAAGAGAGACAGGAGAGAGAAAAUGACAAAGAGAAAAAGAAAAAGAGAGAAGAUAAAGAGACAGAGAAAGAGGCAAAGAGAAGACAGAAAGAGGAGAGAGAGAGAGGGAAGAGAGGAGAAAGAGAAGAUAGAGACAGAAGAGAAAGAGACAGGAGAGAGAACGAGACAAAGAGACAAAGAGAAGACAAAGAAAGGGAGGAGGGGUAGAAAAAGAGGGAAGAGAGAAGAGAGAAGAUAGGAGAGAGAAAAAGAGAAAGAUAAAGGGGAGAGAGAGAAAAAAGAGAAGAGAGGAGAGGAACAGAGAGAAGACAGGAGAUAGAGGAGAGACAAGACAGAGAAGAAAGAGAGAAAGGGAGAGAGAGGCAGAGAGAGGGAGACAGAGGGAGAGAGGGAGGGAGAGGGAGAGAGAGGGAGUGCAAUAGGAGAGAGAAAGAGAGUGAGAGGCUUAACUAUCAUGGCGCCUGGCACAUAGCUUCUUGCAGAGAAUCAAUUCCACCAAAAUUCUUUGCAUGAGACUGGGGCAGGGAAGCAUGAGGACCUCCUCUGGGGACUCUGAAGUCAGUACCUAAAUAAGCUUCACCCAGUUGGAGUAUCUGAAUCAGGUGAGGAGCAUUGGUGGGGGAUGGGGUCAGGAUGUUGAGUUUCCUGGGAUAUUCUUGGUCUGAUGGUCUCAACCCCACUGGCUGUGGGUACUUAGUGGAUUUCAAGGAAGUCCCCCCUCACUCCUAUCUCAGGAUUGAUCAGAGCUCAACCAGCCUAGCACUGACGUAGGAAUCAGAAAUGCUACUCCAUGCAGAAACUCCACAGCUGCCCCCAGGAAGUGCUUUGGGUCCACAAGCCCAGCCCGGGGCAGGGAGACCUGGGUUCGGGGUCGCUAUUUGCUGGGGACCCCUGGGGAAGCAGGAUUCCCCUCUGUGGUCUGCAGCCUCUUGCAGCUACUCUGGGUGCUGGCUCUGUCCAUACAGCACUCACCUGGAUGAAGUUCCAGCGCUUGUACAGGCUGCUCUUGACCUUGUCGCAGUCCAGGAGCUGGGGCAGCCGACUCUUGGAGUUGUCCACCAGGCAGCGGGUGUCAGGGAGGAGUGUGGUGGUCCCCAGGGCACCCAAGUGCAGGAAGCCUUCCUUGGUAUAGCGGGCAAGCUGUCGAGAGACCAGAGCAGCAGGGGAAUGGAAGUGGGAGGCAGGAGUGAGACAUGGGAGAAAGCAGGGCUCAGGUCUCUCGGCUUUACUCCUGCUGUUUGUCAAUACUGCAGUCCUGGCCACCAUCCCAGCCUGUCACUCAGGCCAUAUGCUCACCUCACAGGACAGCCCUGUUCCAGAAAGCCACCCAGGCUUCUGAGCCUGGAUACAGAGUCCCCAGGGCAACUCUCUGAUCUUUUUUCCUUUUUUCUUUGAGAUGGAGUCUCACUCUGUUGCCCUGUCUGGAGUGCAAUGGCACGAUCUCAGCUCACUGCAACCUCCGCUUCCCAGGUUCAAGCAAUUCUCCUGCCUCAGCCUCCUGAGUACGUGGGAUUACAGCUGGCUGGGCCACCUUGAACAAGUAACCUGAGUCUCCAUUUCCUCCCCACUUACAAAGGGGGAUUGACUAAAUCUACCCUGCUGCAGAAGGCUCAAAGAAGCCAUUCACUGAAGAAGAAACAGACAUUAAAUAGUACUCAACCUCAUAGGUAUGAAAAGAAACAAAAAUCUAAAAUAAUGAGAUACCACAUUUUACAAAAGAGAUUAGGCCGGGCUCAGUGGCUCAUGCCCAUGAUCCCAGCACUUUGGGAGGCUGAGGCAGGCAGAUCACUUGAAGCCAGGAGUUCGAGACCAGCCUGACCAACAUGGCCAAACUCCGUCUCUUCUAAAACUACAAAAAUCAGCUGGGUGUGGUGGUGAGCAACUAUAAUCCAAGCUAUUCAGGAGGCUGAGGCAGGAGAAUUGCUUGAACCUGGGGGUGCGGAGGUUGCAGUGAGCGGAGAUCGUGCCACUGCACUCCAGCCUGGGCAACAGAGUGAGGAUCUGUCUCAAAAAACAAACAAAAACCAAAAAAAAAAAAAAAAAAACCCAAAAA